Molecule: long non-coding RNA, 3139 nt
Organism: Phyllopteryx taeniolatus (common seadragon)
Lineage: Eukaryota; Metazoa; Chordata; Actinopteri; Syngnathiformes; Syngnathidae
Exons: 4
Source: RefSeq, a predicted model, not a curated record
GACAGAGUUGAGCAGUCCAAACACCUGGCCAAGGUUACUAAGCACUGCAACUUCUACCGGAGAGGAAUUGUGAUCAAUUGGUCAGAGAGAAAGGAUAAACAAGUUUAGCUUUUGCAACCACAGAACCAUUGCUGAUUCCAGACAACUGACUCCUUCAGCAAAUGCAAGCUGUUCAGCAGAUCCAGCAGCUCAGUACUGAUUUUGGUCACGACUUCACCCAGCAAACCCACAUCAGCAAUUCCUUUCCAGAAGUUUAGCGUAUCCUCUGGAGACAUGCAGGACACAGCAGGUGAGGCUGGGGUAGGCCACCUCAACCACACGCAGCAUCAGCACUGGGGCGCCCCAAGGUUGUGUCCUCUCUCCGCUGCUCUUCUCUCUCUACACGAACGACUGCACCUCAACACACCCGGCUGUCAAACUCCUGAAGUUUGCAGAUGACACACUGUCAUCGGCCUCAUGAAGGACGGUGACAAGUCUGCAUAUCGACAUGAAGUGGAGCGGCUGGAGCUGUGGUGCGGCCGACACAACCUGGAACAGAACACGCUCAAGACUGUAGAGAUGAUCGUGGACUUCAGGAGGCAUACUUCGCCACAGCUGCCCCUCACGCUGUCCAACUGCCUUGUGUCAACCGUCGAGACCUUCAAGUUCCUGGAAAUUACAGUCUCUCAGGACCUGAAGUGGGCGAUCAACAUCAACUCCGCCCUCAAAAAGGCCCAGCAGAGGAUGUGCUUCCUGCGGCACAUCCGCAGUUCUACACAGCGGUCAUCGAAUCAGUCCUGUGUUCUUCCAUCACAGUCUGGUUUGGUGCUGCUACAAAAAAGGACAAACUCCGACUGCAACGGACAAUCAAAACCUCUGCAAAAUUGUCGGUACCCCCCUACCCAGCCUUGAGGGCUUGCACGCUGCCAGAACUAAGACAAGAGCGUGCAAAAUCCUCUUGGACCCGCCACCUCCUGGUCACCAGCUCUUCCAGCUCCUUCCCUCAGAAACAGGCAAAGGCUACAAUACAAUACCAAGCAGUUCAUUCCAGUUCAUAUAGUUACCAUGGUGGAGGACCAGAGGAGAAAGCAUAGAAGUCCUGCUCACACCAAAUGAGCAACAUGGAUACACAGCACCGCAGGAAGAUCACAACUUCAUCUGACCAACAGACGACUUGCCAACAAUCCUCAAAAGUAGGCAUGUUCGUCACUUUUUUUCCAGACGGAUACCAGUACGAGUUUUCAAUAUUUUUUGAAGAGUUGAUGAAUGAAGAAAAUGAGAGAGAAGGAAUAGUAGAAAAGACAAGUGUGGUGGACCAGGAAGUAAGGGGGAAGUUAAAAAGGCACUAAAGAGGAUGAAAAAUGGAAAGGCAGUUGGUUUUGACCACCUUGUUCAACAGAAUUCUAGCAGGUGAGAAGAUGCCUGAGGAAUGGAGGAAAAGUGUGCUGGUGCCCAUUUUUAAGAAUAAGGAGCUGUGGGUACUACAGAGGAAUAAAGGUAAUGAGCCACACAAUGAAGUUAUGGGAAAGAGUGGUGGAGGCUAGACUCAGGACAGAAGUGAGUAUUUGUGAGAUGAGGUUAUAUUCGAGUCCUCGUGGACCAUGAUAUUUGCAGAUGACAUUGUGAUCUGCAGGGAGAAGGUGGAGGAACAGUUAGAAAGGCAUCCACUGGAAAGGAGAGGAAUGGAGAUUAGCCGAAGUAAGACAGUAUAUGUGCAUGAAUGAGAGGUGGCGGUGGAAAAGUGAGGCUCCAGGGAGAAGAGAUAGCGAGCGUUGAGGACUUUAAAUACUUGGGGUCUCCAGUCUAGAGCAAUGGUGAGUGUGGUAAGGAAGUGAAGCGAGUCCAAGCAGGUUGGAACCGGUGGAGGAAGGUGUCAGGUGUGUUACGUGACAGAAGAGUCUCUGCUAGGAUGGACAGUGGUGAGGCCAGCCAUGAUGUACGGAUUAGAGACAGUGGCACUGAAGAGAGAACAGGAAGCAGAGAGGGUGGUGGCGGAAAUGAAGACGUUGCGGUUCUCUCUAGGAGUGACCAGGUUGGAUUGGAUAGGAUCAGAAAUGAGCUCAUAAGAGGGACGGCAAACGUUAGAUGUUUUGGAGACAAAGUUAGAGAGAGCAGACUUCGAUGGUUUGGACACGUCCAGAAGAGAGAUAGUGAGUACAUUGGUAGAACGGUGAGUAGGAUGGAGCUGCCAAGCAAGAGAACUCAAGGAAGACCAAAGAGAAGGUUGAUAGAUGUGGUGAGGGAAGAUAUGAGGGCAGUUGGUGUUUUGGUGUUGUAGAGAAAGAGGCAGAAGAUAGGCUUACAUGCAAAAGGAUGAAGGACUCUGAUGACCCCUAACGGGACAAGCCGAAAGGACCAAGACCAAUACGAGUACUCAAACUUCAGUACUCACCGAUACAGAGUACCCAUACCACUGGUACUUUUGAUACAUAAAAUUUAAAUUAAUACAUUGACAAUUAAUUGUAAACAAAUACUUUUCUUUCUUCCUGACACGUUAUUAUUCGCUAAUGAGUCUAAUCACUGCACUAUAGUGCCAACUACUGGUGAGGAGGACUUAUUCCAUGUCAGUUUUUUAUUUUACCUUAAGUAUCGGUGGGUGGUAUCAGCAGCCUUCAUGUGUACCUGAUACCUAGAAAUAAGGCCAGUAUCGACCCGAUACCUGGUAUCGGUACUCGCCCAUCCCUACUCAAAAGGAACAAACUCUUCACCACAUGCUCUGCUGCAUCCGUUAUGAGAUUGGAAUGCUGAGCGAGUAGCGAAGGUCCAGUGGAGGUGACUACCAAUUGGGUGCAACGGAACAUGGAACAACCAUGGAUUUAAAAUAUAUAUCCACAACAAACAAAUCACAUGGGCCAUAAUGCAAAUCCUUUAAAGCCCAACAAUUGACCAGUCUUAUUCUUUCUGCAGCAAUGUUUACAUACUCAUCCACUAUGAUAACGCGGCUUAACUUUAUGUCAAUUUCUGAGUUUGAUGUAUGUGUAACCAAUGUAACCAUCCAAGAGUAAGUGAUUAAAGAAUAACCAAAAGGAAGGCGUGUAAUGGAAAAUUGUAUCGUAUAACUUGUACCUUUAAUAGCGAAUCGCAACACCUGGGACUGAAUAGAUUAUUCAAGUGUGACUCCAGUUUGUCUGAUCAAGAACAAUAGUGUUAAUUUUUACAG